Oncorhynchus masou masou (cherry salmon) is the source of this 3689-nucleotide long non-coding RNA. RefSeq lists it as uncharacterized. The record is from RefSeq and is a predicted model, not a curated record. The transcript is spliced from 5 exons. Lineage: Eukaryota; Metazoa; Chordata; Actinopteri; Salmoniformes; Salmonidae.
AGUCAUUUGUCAACGUAUGGCGACUGUGCGUUUCACCCUCUCUAUUCUACUAACUCUCCUCCAUCAUUCAGAGCCCAGUGCUGAGACCUCUGUGUUUGUGCAGAAGGGACAGGAUGUUCGCCUGAAUGUCCAGACAAAUGUUCAACUGCAAGAUGUUGAUGUGAUAUUUUGGAAGUUUAACAGAUUAGACAAUGUUGUAAAGUACCCCCCAAAAGGUACCGAGGUAGGGCUAAAUUUAGUGUGGGAAACUUCUCUCUGCUACUGAAGAACCUCCAGGAAGGAGACAGUGGACUUUAUGAAGCAGUAGUGUCUGGUAACAAUGACAGAAACGUUGCUAAAUACUUGAUAAAAGUCUAAGCUCAUGUACUCAGGUUAAUAAACAAACAAUCAGCUGGGCCAACGACACCAAGGAGAUCAAAACAAUUUGUCUGGAAAAAGAGCGGGACAGAGAAGACCAUAACUACGCUGUCACAGUCGGGAUGCUCGGUCCCAUCAUCCACGUCAUCAUCAUCUUUGUUGGAUGCGCCUUGAUUGGUUGGUGAAAGCUAAAUAAAGACUCCAGGUAACAGUCAAAUAGGUGAUGAAGAGCAGGAAUCUCCAGGUCCAGGUCAAGCAUCAGCCACAAUCUACAGUAUGGUGGGACUACCCCAACCCCAGCCUAUGAACCAUUCCACCAUGAUGGGAGACCAGUCUCCACCUGAGGACUUCCCCAUGACCUCCAUGACCUCCAUGACCAUGCCUGAGAGUUUAAAUGCUACUGUAUGGUGGGGCAAAAGAGAAGCAAACAAUAAUCAGGAAUUUUAACAUCAUCUUAGACCAGGAUUCUAUCACAUAGCUUGUUGUCAGCUAUACACCUUUGAAGGCAAUGCUCCCGCGUUCAAUGAGAAAACAUUCAAUUCAGUUCAGUCGGGAAAUUAUGUUUAAAUGUACAUAGCUGGCAAACCAUGAUCAAAUUCAAAUCAAAUCAACUUUAUUUGUCACAUACACAUGGUUAGCAGAUGUUAAUGCGAGUGUAGCGAAAUGCUGGUGCUUCUAGUUCCGACAAUGCAGUAAUAACCAACAAGUAAUCUAACUAACAAUUCCUAAACUACUGUCUUGAAUAUGUACAUAAGGAUAUAUGAAUGAGUGAUGGUACAGAGCAGCAUAGGCAAGAUACAGUAGAUGGUAUCGAGUACAGUAUAUACAUAUGAGAUGAGUAUGUAAACAAAGUGGCAUAGUUAAAGUGGCUAGUGAUACAUGUAUUACAUAAGGAUGCAGUCGAUGAUAUAGAGUACAGUAUAUACGUAUGCAUAUGAGAUGAAUAAUGUAGGGUAAGUAACAUUAUAUAAGGUAGCAUUGUUUAAAGUGGCUAGUGAUAUAUUUACAUCAAUUCCCAUUAUUAAAGUGGCUGGAGUUGAGUCAGUGUCAGUGUGUUGGCAGCAGCCACUCAAUGUUAGUGGUGGCUGUUUAACAGUCUGAUGGCCUUGAGAUAGAAGCUGUUUUUCAGUCUCUCGGUCCCAGCUUUGAUGCACCUGUACUGACCUCGCCUUCUGGAUGAUAGCGGGGUGAACAGGCAGUGGCUCGGGUGGUUGAUGUCCUUGAUGAUCUUUAUGGCCUUCCUGUAACAUCGGGUGGUGUAGGUGUCCUGGAGGGCAGGUAGUUUGCCCCCGAUGAUGCGUUGUGCAGACCUCACUACCCUCUGGAGAGCCUUACGGUUGAUGGUGUUGAAUGCCGAGCUGUAGUCGAUGAACAGCAUUCUCACAUAGGUAUUCCUCUUGUCCAGAUGGGUUAGGGCAGUGUGCAGUGUGGUUGAGAUUGCAUCGUCUGUGGACCUAUUUGAGCGGUAAGCAAAUUGGAGUGGGUCUAGGGUGUCAGGUAGGGUGGAGGUGAUAUGGUCCUUGACUAGUCUCUCAAAGCACUUCAUGAUGACGGAAGUGAGUGCUACGGGGCGGUAGUCGUUUAGCUCAGUUACCUUAGCUUUCUUGGGAACAGGAACGAUGGUGGCCCUCUUGAAGCAUGUGGGAACAGCAGACUGGUAUAGGGAUUGAUUGAAUAUGUCCGUAAACACACCAGCCAGCUGGUCUGCGCAUGCUCUGAGGGCGCGGCUGGGGAUGCCGUCUGGGCCUGCAGCCUUGCGAGGGUUAACACGUUUUACUCACCUCGGCUGCAGUGAAGGAGAGACCGCAUUUUUCCGUUGCGGGCAGUGUCAGUGGCACUGAGCAAGACAUCCUGGUCCGUGACUGGGCUGGAUUUCUUCCUGUAGUCCGUGAUUGACUGUAGACCCUGCCACAUGCCUCUUGUGUCUGAGCCGUUGAAUUGGGAUUCUACUUUGUCUCUGUACUGACGCUUAGCUUGUUUGAUAGCCUUACGGAGGGAAUAGCUGCAUUGUUUGUAUUCAGUCAUGUUACCAGACACCUUGCCCUGAUUGAAAGCAGUGGUUCGCACUUUCAGUUUCACGCGAAUGCUGCCAUCAAUCCAAGGUUUCUGGUUAGGGAAUGUUUUAAUCGUUACUAUGGGAACGACAUCUUCAACGCACGUUCUAAUGAACUCGCACACCGAAUCAGCGUAUUCGUCAAUGUUGUUAUUUGACGUAAUACGAAACAUGUCCCAGUCCACGUGAUGGAAGCAGUCUUGGAGUGUGGAGUCAGCUUGGUCGGACCAGCGUUGGACAGACCUCAGCGUGGGAGCUUCUUUUUUUAGCUUUUGUCUGUAGGCAGGUAUCAGCAAAAUGGAGUCGUGGUCAGCUUUUCCGAAAGGGGGCGGGGCAGGGCCUUAUAUGCGUCGCGGAAGUUAGAGUAACAGUGAUCCAAGGUUUUUCCGCCCCUGGUUGCGCAAUCGAUAUGCUGAUAAAAUUUAGGGAGUCUUGUUUUAAGAUUAGCCUUGUUAAAAUCCCCAACAACGAUGAAUGCAGCCUCCGGAUAAAUGGUUUCCAGUUUGCAAAGAGUUAAAUAAAGUUCGUUCAGAGCCAUCGAUGUGUCUGCUUGGGGGGGGGAUAUAUACGGCUGUGAUUAUAAUCGAAGAGAAUUCUCUUGGUAGAUAAUGCGGUCUACAUUUGAUUGUGAGGAAUUCUAAAUCAGGUGAACAGAAGGAUUUGAGUUCCUGUAUGUUUCUUUCAUCGCACCAUGCCUCGUUAGCCAUAAGGCAUACACCCCCACCCCUCUUCUUACCAGAAAGGUGUUUGUUUCUGUCGGCGCGAUGCGUGGAGAAACCCGUUGGCUGCACCGCUUCGGAUAGCGUCUCUCCAGUGAGCCAUGUUUCCGUGAAGCACAGAACGUUACAGUCUCUGAUGUCCCUCUGGAAUGCUACCUUUGCUCGGAUUUCAUCAACCUUGUUGUCAAGAGACUGGUGUGACGACCCUCCCACUCCGUCUGCUGUAUUCUGUUUGUUCUUGUUUCCUUAUUAGGAUGCCGGUGGGCGGAGUUGGGGAGGGUCGUCAGCUACAUGGGAAACACCUGGGCCAGGUGUGUCCCAGGAUAAAUAGACCUCUUCCACAUUCAUGGAGGAGACUCUCUCCAUGCAGACACCAUUGUAGAUUGUGUUGUGGUUCUUGGUGGCCUUUUGUUUGUUUGCAUUGGCACCUUUCAAUACCCUGCAUUAUCACAUUCAUGCAUGCAAAACACUCACUUACACUACUGAUUACUGAUUACACACACCAUUGUAUAUUUUGCUUAGUUGCUUUAGUUAAUAAAUAUAUAUUUUGUUACUCCUUA